Molecule: ribosomal RNA, 44 nt
Filed under: Sinocyclocheilus rhinocerous
Lineage: Eukaryota; Metazoa; Chordata; Actinopteri; Cypriniformes; Cyprinidae
Source: RNAcentral
GCCAGGUUAGUACUUGGAUGGGAGACCGCCUGGGAAUACCAGGU